Molecule: long non-coding RNA, 1638 nt
Filed under: Olea europaea subsp. europaea
Lineage: Eukaryota; Viridiplantae; Streptophyta; Magnoliopsida; Lamiales; Oleaceae
Source: RNAcentral
UUCAAAACUCUUUAUUUUACAUACUCGUUUUUAAUAAUAUAUUCACACAAUAAAAUAUUUUGCACAUAAACCCAAAAAUUUUUCCUACUUUUUAAACACGCAUUCUCCAAAAACUUACAAUUUAAAACAGAGUUUUUGCCAAAUAAUGGCCAUCAAACUAUGGCUAAGUAAUCGAGUUCAUUGUAAAAUGCAUGAUUGAAUAUUAAAUACAACAUCCUGAAAUUUUCUCCUCUAGUUCUUCCCCAUUCUCCUUUCAAAUUCUCUUUGUUUCUUCAUCUUCGUCUCUCCUCUUGUCCUUCUCUAUAUUCUCGGUUUGACAUAGUGUGCUGCAUCGUAUAUAUCAGCUGACUAGUCUUUUAAUCAUCAAAUUGAUCUCUCUGAACGAUUUUCAUAAAAACAUGCCAGUCUUUAUCACUGGGAUUGUCCAUCUAAAAUAUUAGCUCCAUUUGAAAUGCAAAGGCAAAUGGCUUAUCGUCCUGCUUUAACCCCUUGCCUUUUAACACCCUAUUGCAUUCAAUGAUUCAAUCAACACAUCUUUGCCACCUCCUUAAUCCAACUCAAUUAUGUCUUUCAAAAUCCCAAAUUAAUUCAUCUCUCUUAAGAUGGCCACCUAUAUCAAAAUGCACAGAACAAGAAUGUAACGUAAAGUAAAAAAUAUAAGCAACUAUGUAAACACACAUGGCUAGUAAUCUAAUUUACCUGUAGGAAUUGUUUAAGAAAAGAGAUAUCUAGUUGAACUUUAUUUUAUUUAAUUUUCUGUAAAAUCCACAGCAUUCGGUCAGGAGCUUUUAGGUUCCUUUCCAAACGAUAUCCCCUAACUCUCCAUGAAUAAUAGAAAGGAGUAGUGCAUGGAGGGGACAUAAAGCCUUACGUCAGGAUAUACAUCAAGAGGAUGUAACGAACAUUUAAAGCAAGAUUCAAACUAGUAAGUAUUACUUCUAUAACAUUUAAAGUAGAUAAUAGAAAUUUUAUGAGUUAACAUAAGGAACUUGGAGACGGUCUAAAAAUAUGAGCCCAAACAACUACCCAUGAAUUUCGGAAGGCUGCAAAACCGUGGAGCACUCUUCUGGACACCAAAAUUGGCAUGGAUUUCAAUGAAGUUUUGAUUUCCCCAAUAACAUAUUGAGUAUUCCAAGCCUCACUAGGCUCUGUGGACACCAAUUGAAUAGCCACAAGAGAGUCAAGUUCAAUCCAAAAUUUUUGAACCCCAACAUUAGCGCAAUGAGAGUAUAGGAGCAGUGUGCCCAAACAACCUGUCUGAGCCACGCCAGCCCCUCACCAUCCCCUACUCUGAGGGUUGCCUUUACAACACCCAUCCAUGUUCACUUCGUACUCUCCCACCAAUGGUUUUAGCCAAUCAUAACAAGCUUAUCUAAAUUGUGGUGUUUUCUUUGUUUCAACUUAGUUUUCUCAUACUCCACAUGAGUUAUUCCUAUGAUAGUUCCAUCGAAAAGUUAACUUCCUGGAUUAUGAUUUAGUAUGCUGGAAUAUUGAUCAUUAUAACCAAAUAAUCUAGCAUAGUUUCUAUCACAAAUCAUUAGCUCUAGUUUCGAGCUUCCCAUUAGUACCAAAUACAAGUCAAACCAAAAUUUAGAAGUUAAACCAACCAUGUUAUGUUGGAUAGCUCUAAACUCUUUC